AUUGAACGCUGGCGGCAGGCCUAACACAUGCAAGUCGAACGGUAACAGGAAGCAGCUUGCUGCUUUGCUGACGAGUGGCGGACGGGUGAGUAAUGUCUGGGAAACUGCCCGAUGGAGGGGGAUAACUACUGGAAACGGUAGCUAAUACCGCAUAACGUCGCAAGACCAAAGAGGGGGACCUUAGGGCCUCUUGCCAUCGGAUGUGCCCAGAUGGGAUUAGCUAGUAGGUGGGGUAACGGCUCACCUAGGCGACGAUCCCUAGCUGGUCUGAGAGGAUGACCAGCCACACUGGAACUGAGACACGGUCCAGACUCCUACGGGAGGCAGCAGUGGGGAAUAUUGCACAAUGGGCGCAAGCCUGAUGCAGCCAUGCCGCGUGUAUGAAGAAGGCCUUCGGGUUGUAAAGUACUUUCAGCGGGGAGGAAGGGAGUAAAGUUAAUACCUUUGCUCAUUGACGUUACCCGCAGAAGAAGCACUGGCUAACUCCGUG
This 490-nucleotide ribosomal RNA is filed under the name uncultured bacterium. RNAcentral's name for it is "partial 16S ribosomal RNA". It matches the Rfam family "Bacterial small subunit ribosomal RNA", at positions 30 to 507 of the family's 1533-position model. The record is from RNAcentral.